CCAAAAUGAUGCGUAAGUGACAGAAUUUGAUUGGCUGCAAAGCAAGCGCACGAUUUCCACGAUAAUUUUGUUUUCGUGUUAAUUUCUUGAGAGUCUUGAAAGCAUGCCUUGAUUUGGCAGAAAUACUGGCCAUGUGUGGGCCACAUGUUGAAAGAAGAAGCAAGCAGUUCUAUUGCAUUUCAAAGUUGGAACAUAACACAAGCUAUUGAGCUGUUGAGUGUCACUGCCAGAUAUGGACUUGGCUUCAUGGUUAAUCUUUGAAUUCCAGGUGUGAAGAUGAAUUUUUGAAGAAUAAUGCUUGGGGACUGCAUUCUUAAAUCAUCAGUUUGUCUACAGAAAAAGAUAUAAAGACAGGACAGGUAACUGGUUUUAAUAAUGCAAGAAAUACACUUGCAGAACCACCAGGGAAGACAACUUUUCAUGAAAUUGAAAAUUGUACUGAUUGAAAAUUCAAAAGUUUGCAAUGGCAGACGCAGGGGAUGGAAUGUGUUGCUACAUGUGUACUUUAUUGGAAGAUCUGAGGACUCGCCUAAGUUUCCUCUUUGAUCAGGCACCAUACAACAAUGGUACUUAUUCCUAUUCUAAAAAGGUGAGCAGGCGUUACAUUGUAAAUUGUGUGGUUAUUUCUGCACACAAAAUAUGUCAAUUAAAAACUUUUGAUAAUACACAGCAUGAAAAAAACAACAAAAAAAUGUUUACAUUUAAAUGUGAUGUAUGUGAUUAUGCAAGUAAGUGAAAGGGUGAUCUGAAAUUGCAGGUGAGAAAACAUACUGGCAAGAAACUGUAUAUAAUAAAUAUGAGAACUGUGAUUACCCGUGUAGCUCGAGUUCUCAAGCUAUCAAAUAGUACCCUUAAACGCCAUAUGACAUUACACUCCAGGGAGAAGCGAUUAAAAUGUGAUGUCUGUAAUUACGCGACCAAUGAAAUCAUUGAUGUGAUGGACAUACUUGCAUGAGGAAACAUACAGAAGGGAACAAAUUUAAAUGUGGGGUUUGUGGUUACUGGUGUGAUCAGAAAUGCAGUAGAAAAUGACACUUGUCAAUACAUACUGGUGAAAGCCAAUUGAAAUUUGUCUUUUGUAAGUACUUGUGCAAUCAGAAAGUGCAAUUUGGUAAGACAUGUUAGAUUGCAUAAGAGGGAAAACAUGAUUAAUUACUU
This is a long non-coding RNA of Ruditapes philippinarum (Manila clam), 1158 nucleotides long. RefSeq lists it as uncharacterized. Lineage: Eukaryota; Metazoa; Mollusca; Bivalvia; Venerida; Veneridae. The record is from RefSeq and is a predicted model, not a curated record. The transcript is spliced from 3 exons.